Molecule: RNase P RNA, 308 nt
Filed under: Stylonychia lemnae
Lineage: Eukaryota; Ciliophora; Spirotrichea; Sporadotrichida; Oxytrichidae
Description: Nuclear RNase P
Rfam family: Nuclear RNase P
About the family: Ribonuclease P (RNase P) is a ubiquitous endoribonuclease, found in archaea, bacteria and eukarya as well as chloroplasts and mitochondria.
Source: Rfam by way of RNAcentral
UUGAGAGAAAGCCUGCUUAGAUAUGCAUACAUACUAGAGCCAAGUAAGCUCUGCCAUUAAAGCAUAUGGGAAGGUCUGAGGCGCCUCUUAGUAGAGAUCAAAAGGAGGAGACUCUUGGAGAAACAAACAGAAAACACUCUCUGUCUGUCGGUCUAAGAUACUCACGCAAGUGAGAGGAGACUUUGGGCAGAUGGGGAGAUGAGAAGUUUCACGGCGUUGAUUCUAAGUCCAAUAAGCAAGGCCUUGCGGUAAUCUCUGUUAAAGACAUUACUUGCAAGGUAACUCAAUUCAGACUACUCUUCUUUCAA